RNAcentral lists this long non-coding RNA (316 nucleotides) under Jatropha curcas. Its description in RNAcentral is "long non-coding RNA (JCUR_LNC003206)". The record is from RNAcentral. Lineage: Eukaryota; Viridiplantae; Streptophyta; Magnoliopsida; Malpighiales; Euphorbiaceae.
GGGAUCGGCUCCCUGGUGCACAUGUGAGAGGAUGAGCCAUGUGGGAGGACGGCUCAUCGGGGGUUCGGUGACUCCACUGACUAAUUUCCACGUGAUGUGAUUAUAUGAAGAUGUUAAUGAUUGUGAGUGCUGGUGAUUUGCCAUUUGUGUGACCGGCUGCGUGAGCAUAUAGCUAGUCGGAUGACUAGAUCGAUAUAUUUACACAUUUGUGUGACUGCAUGUGUUGUGUGAUAAUUAUUUCUGCUUAGAAAACUCACAAGUCUUGCUUGAUUUUUUUUCAGGAAGUAAGUUUUUCUUUAAUCCGAUUUAGGCUAUG